Small nucleolar RNA from Leptobrachium leishanense (Leishan spiny toad), 216 nucleotides. The record is from Ensembl. NCBI's taxonomy places the organism in Eukaryota, Metazoa, Chordata, Amphibia, Anura, Megophryidae.
AAGACUAUACUUUCAGGGAUCAUUUCUAUAGUUUGUAACUGGUGAAAUGUGCUCGAAAGUGUCAAACUCAGUAACCACGAUGAGGAGCUUCAGUGUUCUCUCCUGAGCGUGAAAAGUGUGCUCGGUGCUGCUUUACUGUAGCUGUCUUGUAUAGUUGAUGAUCGUUCUUCUCUUCUUCAUGGAGAGGUGGAGGGAGAGAACACAAGCUGAGUGGUU